Molecule: long non-coding RNA, 583 nt
Organism: Apodemus sylvaticus (European woodmouse)
Lineage: Eukaryota; Metazoa; Chordata; Mammalia; Rodentia; Muridae
Exons: 3
Source: RefSeq, a predicted model, not a curated record
GAAGAAGCACAAGGGUCCUGAGUAAACUGCUUGAAGAAGAUCUUCCUGUUUUGCGUCAUUCCUUGCCGACGAAGGUGGACGCGACAUUUUGGGUUGUUAAACAUUUAGUCACAUCUAAAUGUUGUAUAUCAGUUGAGUGUUGAAAGCAUAUGUGGAUCUGGCCUCAUGAUCCCACAUUGGCAGCUGAAGGAACAGUUGAAUAUUGUUGAAUGAAUAUACACAAAACAAUGGCUUCUUUAAAAACCCCGAGCUAUAACAUGGUCCUGAACUAUCAAGUACCUUGAUCUGGAUCUCCUUAAGGAAGACCAUAGUCAUGCACAAGAAGUAAGCUGCAUCUCUAGAGAAAUAUAAGCUUCAACAUUUUCUCUCCCGUAAUACUCAACACACUGAAAAAACAGCCACACACUAAGCAAAAUCUAGUGUCCACAUGGUCAUUCUGAGUAUACCCUGACUUCAUUGUUCUUUACAAAUAUCAUGAUGGAAUUAGUGCCUGUUUUUCCUUUGAAAAUCUAAAAUGUUUAAAAACUGCCCACCUGAAUUUCAAAUCCGAAUGUUCCAUUGUCCUGCUUUUCCACAGUAACAA